GAUGAAGAACGCAGCGAAAUGCGAUAAGUAGUGUGAAUUGCAGAAUUCAGUGAAUCAUCGAAUCUUUGAACGCACAUUGCGCCCCUUGGUAUUCCAUGGGGCAUGCCUGUUCGAGCGUCAUUUGUACCUUCAAGCUCUGCUUGGUGUUGGGUGAUUGUCUAUCUUUGUAGACUCGCCUUAAAGUCAUUGGCAGCCGGCAUAUUGGCCUGGGAGCGCAGCACAAGUCGCGCUUCUUGUCAUGAAUGUUGGCGUCCAGUAAGUCUACAUAUUUUGCUCUUGACCUCGGAUCAGGUAGGGAUACCCGCUGAACUUAAGCAUAUCAGUAAGCGGAGGA
This 334-nucleotide unclassified non-coding RNA is filed under the name soil metagenome. RNAcentral's name for it is "partial contains 5.8S ribosomal RNA, internal transcribed spacer 2, and large subunit ribosomal RNA". The stretch from base 1 to 120 matches the Rfam family "5.8S ribosomal RNA", at positions 35 to 154 of the family's 154-position model. The record is from RNAcentral.